UGUUUACAUAUAACAGAGGCGUAGCGUUACUGAGCGCUCUGCAUUAGUACACACUUUCUUUCUACUUCCACAACACCACAAGACUUAAUGCUGACUAGACUGAAGGACACUUGAAUGCCCAUUGCUCAAGCUAAUUCAAUUUGCACCCCGGAGCCAAACUAUUGCGUAACAAGAUGACUUCUACGGGGGUGACUUUGCAAGGAUCUCCCUCGCUGACUCUGGAGCAACCCCUCCCACCAACAGUGUGCUCUGCACCCUAACGUUACACCUGAAAGCUCUGCAGGCUUCACCAGCAGUAAACCAGGUCACAUGCCGAUGUAAACUUUGGAAGAAGAGAUAAGUAUAAUGUGGCUUGAAUGAAUGUCAGUAAGUGAACUGUCACAAUGUCUAGAAGUUUCUAUGAAAUAGUUAUUCCUGUUUUCCAGGAAUCGCAGUCAACUUCUUUGUUAACUCCUGUUCCAGUUUUUUUUUUCUUUACAGCAGGUUACAAGUAAUAAGUAAUUAAUAGAGAGAAUGGGUGUGUUCAGAUAACACAGAGUAAUAUGUUGUGUUCAGUUGUAUGUUCCUUGUAUUUAGUUUGAAUUAAAGGGACCGUUCACCUGAAAAAAUUAAAGAAGAAAUUCUUUGUUUAAAAAAUGUUGGAAUACUUUAGAGGUCAACAGCUGCCUGUGUUCAACAUUCUUCAAAAUAUCUUCUUUUGUGUUGAGGGUGAUCAUGAGAAUUUUUUUUUUUUACAUUUUUUGGGUGAACUAUUUCUUUAAAACUCCAAAAUUAAACCCUGUAACUCUUUUAACAUUCACACACAGUGGAUGUGCUCUUAUUAUAGAAAUAAGAAAUCUCUUGUGUUGCUAUGACUUCACUUUGUGUAAAAGAAAACUUACCAUACUUCCUUCCUUUGUUGUCUCAGCUGUUUUGAAUUAUUUUAAGAAAUACAAUAAAGCAUUGAAACUUCUCUUGAAGUCUGGUUUUGUUUAAUGCGGGUUCCCGAUCAUGCACAACGCACCAAAAGCAUCACGGUGGCUGAUGUGAAAACCUUGUAUGCUUCCUAUAUUAAAGUGUGCCAUUAAUCAGCUCAUUACAGAGGGUCUGAAACUUAACAGGGUCACAGGGGUGAGUGAAAGAGGUCGUCCUGCUGAAGUGAGCUGUAGGAGGGCUACACGUGCACUGUGGCACAUACAUGUGAAUGAAAUGGGCUGCUCCGUUUGGAUUGGGCUGGAUUGAGCCCGUUCCCACCGGUCCUACUAGU
Molecule: long non-coding RNA, 1246 nt
Organism: Danio aesculapii
Lineage: Eukaryota; Metazoa; Chordata; Actinopteri; Cypriniformes; Danionidae
Exons: 3
Source: RefSeq, a predicted model, not a curated record